RNAcentral lists this ribosomal RNA (496 nucleotides) under uncultured bacterium. Its description in RNAcentral is "partial 16S ribosomal RNA". It matches the Rfam family "Bacterial small subunit ribosomal RNA", at positions 28 to 507 of the family's 1533-position model. The record is from RNAcentral.
GACGAACGCUGGCGGCGUGCCUAAUACAUGCAAGUUGAGCGCUGAAGGUUGGUACUUGUACCAACUGGAUGAGCAGCGAACGGGUGAGUAACGCGUGGGUAAUCUGCCUUUAAGCGGGGGACAACAUCUGGAAACGAAUGCUAAUACCGCAUAAAAACUUUAAACACAAGUUUUAAGAUUGAAAGAUGCAAUUGCAUCACUCAAUGAUGAUACCGCGUUGUCUUAGCUAGUUGGUAAGGUAAAGGCUCACCAAGGCGAGCAUACAUAGCCGACCUGGGAGGGUGACGGCCACAAUGGGACCUGGGAAACGCUCAAACCUCUUCGGGAGGCAGCCGGAGGGGAAUUUUGGCCAAGGGCGGAAGGCCGACCGAGGCACGGCGGGGGAGGGGAGAAGGGUCUCGGAUCCUAAAACCUUGUUUAUUAGGAAGAACCUAGUGGGGAGGUGAAAGUGCACCAAGUGACGGUAACUACCCAGAAAGGCACGGCUAACUACGUG